Molecule: ribosomal RNA, 253 nt
Filed under: uncultured bacterium
Lineage: Bacteria
Description: partial 16S ribosomal RNA
Rfam family: Bacterial small subunit ribosomal RNA
Source: RNAcentral
GUCCACGCCGUAAACGAUGGAUACUAGCUGUUGGGGCAACUUCAGUGGCUAAGCGAAAGUGAUAAGUAUCCCACCUGGGGAGUACGUUCGCAAGAAUGAAACUCAAAGGAAUUGACGGGGCCCGCACAAGCGGAGGAACAUGUGGUUUAAUUCGAUGAUACGCGAGGAACCUUACCCGGGCUCGAACGGCGCCUGAACCACCCAGAGACGGGUGGGUCUUCGGACAGGUGCCGAGGUGCUGCAUGGUUGUCGU